CAGCCAUAUGGAAACAUAACAGUCGUCAUCCUAUGGCUCUUUUCUGCCACCGGUUGCCAGUCAGUACUCCCUGACCCCAACUUGACCUCAUUCCUCCUAACUUAAAGCACACGGCAUUGUUCAGGUUGGGAUUACAUACAACAUAACAAAAUAUAUCUUGACUUUAAACUUUCAUGUAAGCGCUGGUUGGCAAGCACUGGUUUGUAAUCUCUGUGCCUAUCUUGUUCAUACAUUCUUUCUACGCACCGAGCAGAGUAGAGAAACUGUUUUGAAAGAUAACUGAAUUUUAAAGGCAAUAACUGGAUUCCCACAAGGCCCAACUCUAUGAAUGGAGUGCUUUUAUUUAUUUAUUUUUUUCUUGAUGUGGGGGUGCUGGUAGAGAUAUCUACAUUCCACUCAAACAGUUUCUUAAUGGUUCGUUUCCCGUUUCUGCCCUUUCUGUUUCAGGUCACGAAAGCUGGCAGGAGAAGAAGAAAACAGAACAAGCACUAGCAGCGUUAUCCUUCCCUCCACCACAGAGGGAAGGAAGGGAAGCAGAGCGCAAUGAGGAAAAAGACAAGAGUGAUGAAAGAGAGGUCCAGACACGAAGGAGGCACGCACGCUCAGACACACACACAUACAACGGCACCUAGAGUCUGUCUGCGGUCUACCCCCACCCUGCCACACACACACACGCCUUUUACGGUAAGAAUCAGAGACCACCGAGUUAGGGGGAUAAUAAUGGUGUGAAUGUGAGAAAACAAACUCAUUAUCCUCUGCUUUUUUUUCCUCUCUCUUUGAGUAAUUUAAAGACAAAUUGACUCAGUGUAUUAAAAAAAUACUUUAAAUUCUGUAAUUAAAAAAAGAAAAUGUAGCCGAAUUCGGUAAUCACAGGAUACACCCGGAAAAGUAGUUUCUUGGUGUGGUAGAGUCUUAAAUAGGCUAUGAAAAAACAUCUUAAUUUAUGCAAUGUCGUUUUAUAUAAUUAGUAAUUGUAUGCUUCUGCUGUCCUGCAUGCGAUUUGUAGUGUGUCUGUGUUUGAGUGAGUGUGU
Molecule: long non-coding RNA, 1031 nt
Filed under: Dicentrarchus labrax (European seabass)
Lineage: Eukaryota; Metazoa; Chordata; Actinopteri; Moronidae
Description: lncRNA (ENSDLAG00005030842.1)
Source: RNAcentral